UACGUAGGGUGCGAGCGUUAAUCGGAAUUACUGGGCGUAAAGCGUGCGCAGGCGGUUUUGUAAGCCAGGUGUGAAAUCCCCGGGCUCAACCUGGGAAUGGCAUUUGUGACUGCAUGGCUAGAGUUUGGCAGAGGGGGGUAGAAUUCCACGUGUAGCAGUGAAAUGCGUAGAUAUGUGGAGGAACACCGAUGGCGAAGGCAGCCCCCUGGGUCAAGACUGACGCUCAUGCACGAAAGCGUGGGGAGCAAACAGG
This 253-nucleotide ribosomal RNA is filed under the name uncultured bacterium. Its description in RNAcentral is "partial 16S ribosomal RNA". It matches the Rfam family "Bacterial small subunit ribosomal RNA", at positions 524 to 776 of the family's 1533-position model. The record is from RNAcentral.